CUCAUUUUUCUGAGACACCAGGUGAACAGAGAAGCUCAGAGACUCUUGCCCAGAGUUGACCAGUUGGCCAGUAACAACGCAAAUAACACAGCAUAGGAACUGGGUCUGCGGUAGGUCACUGUUACACAGCCUGGCCACUGUGUAUUUCCUCAUGUACCAAUCAUUUUUACACAGGCCGGUGACCAUCCUUCGUAAUGAAGCUGGUAUGUUUAAUCCCCAAGCAAAACCUCCUUGACAGCGCUCUUCCCACGAACCUGCCUUAGCCGCGGUACUCUGCGUCAUCGACAGCAUCAAGUCCUCUUUCAAAUAACCUGAGAGGCCUUGGGAACCAUCUCUCUGAAAUGCAAUCAUCGAGGAAGACAGCAUUCCUAUCUUCUAGUCGCUAUGGGAGAGUGGAAGCCUAACUUCAGUGGGCAUCUCCUUCCAAGUUGCAAAACUACCUCUCGUUGUAAAGAUAUGAGAAGUUUACUUAUCCUUUGGAUGAGCCCAAUGAGCUAACACAGAUGGUGACCUCGGCUAUCAGAUGAAUUUCGAAUGAAUGCAGCAUUAUUCACACCAACCAAAAAGUGGAAGCAGUCCAUGUGUCCUCGGAAGGAUGACUGGACAAGAUGUGGUGUGUAUGGACCACGGAAUAUUACUCAGGCUGAAAAAGGAAGGAAGUUCUGACAGAUGCUAUGACACGGAUUGGACCUUGAGGACGUGAUGCUGAGUGAACAACACCGGUCACAAGAGGACAGACGGUAUGAUUCCACUUACACGAGGUACCUAGAGAAGUCAAAUUCAUAUUAACAGUAGAAUGGAGAAAUGAAAGCGGAACGGGGGCCGCCAGAGGCUGGGGGAGCGGGGGAGGGUGAGUUAGUGUUUAAUGCGGACAAUGUUUAAUGAGUUUCAGUUUGGGAAAAUGAAAAAGUUCUAUGGGUGAAUGGUGGUGAUGGUUACACAACAGGGUGGAUAUAUUCAAUGACACUCAACUGUAUCCUCUCCCUCCCUCCCUUCCUCUCUUUUAUCACUCAGCUAAAAAAAGAGAGAGUUCUCACUGGAGGUAUGCAAAAAAUAGUUUGGUUUCAUUUUCUCCAAUUGACUGCAGGCGUCUUCUGGAGCUAACAGAGCCCAGUCCAGCUCCCUGUCAGGAGUCCCCCUUUCUCAUGCCCACCUCUGGUUCAGGCCUCCCCGCCUCUCCCCCCACACCCGGCCAGCCCCUGGCUGGCUUUCGGAUCAUGCUCUGACCCAGGCCUUCAGUUGUUUUCACCAUGAAUGUUUAUAGUACAGUUUCGAUGAAAGUGCCAGGAAUCAGGUUAGGUUCUGGGAAGACAGAACUAAACAGUGUGGCAGCCCUCAAAAUUACGUUACUCCUCUGAUCCUAAACAAUGGCCUGGAAUGAAGCACAGAUUAAAGAUGGCUCCAGUCCUCACUGCUCUAUUCCCUGUCUCUUCUCAGUCCGUCCCUUCUGUGACCAUUUGAUGGGUUUUGUCUCUCCUCACCUUUGUCCACACUGAUCAUGUGGCUUACGAUACCUCCACACUGAUCAUGUGGCUUAGGAUACGUCCACACUGAUCAUGUGGCUUAGGAUACGUCUACACUGAUCAUGUGGCUUAGGAUACCCUAUCUGUUC
Molecule: long non-coding RNA, 1612 nt
Organism: Ursus maritimus (polar bear)
Lineage: Eukaryota; Metazoa; Chordata; Mammalia; Carnivora; Ursidae
Source: Ensembl